RNAcentral lists this long non-coding RNA (475 nucleotides) under Sorghum bicolor (sorghum). RNAcentral describes it as "long non-coding RNA (SBIC_LNC014079)". Lineage: Eukaryota; Viridiplantae; Streptophyta; Magnoliopsida; Poales; Poaceae. The record is from RNAcentral.
GAUUCUUAAUUAGUACACUCACGUUCUCUGUGGAAAAUCGAUACUCUAGGAUACUCCCGGGUGAAGGCUACAUCGGUAUCCGUGCGCUUGCGGAUUUUUCUGUUUGCGUUUAAAAUACCCAACAAGCUUUCUGGCGCCGUUGCCGGGGAACGGUAGCUGUGCUAGUUUCGAACCAAGUCGUCCAUGUAUCCUUUUUCUUUUCUUUUUUUUACCACACUCACCUUACCACUUUCACCAUACCACAUGGAUUUCACUCUAAGCAUUAAUGAGCAUGGAAUUUAAUUCAUAGCCACUUCAUUUACUCCAUGAUCAUAUGCAACAUCUUCACAAUCCAUUGGUCUCUCCAACAUCACCACAUUCGAGAUCUCCAACCCCCUCAUCCUUUCUAUUUAUAAAACCUUUAAAAGGGCGGUUGUCGAUGCAUAUGUCUAUAAUAAAUUUUGCAGAUCUCGUUGAGUUGAUCUUGAUAUAGGUC